Molecule: small nuclear RNA, 107 nt
Organism: Tupaia belangeri (northern tree shrew)
Lineage: Eukaryota; Metazoa; Chordata; Mammalia; Scandentia; Tupaiidae
Source: Ensembl
GUGCUCACUUCAGCAGCACAUAGACUAAAAUUGGACUGAUACAGGGAAGAUUAGCAUGGCCCUUGCGCAAGGAUGACACGCAAAUUCGUGAAGCAUUCCAUAUUUUU